UAGUCUCUCCAGUAAUGCAGCUAACGCAUUAAGCAUCCCGCCUGGGGAGUACGGUCGCAAGAUUAAAACUCAAAGGAAUAGACGGGGACCCGCACAAGCGGUGGAGCAUGUGGUUUAAUUCGAAGAUACACGAAGAACCUUACCUAGGCUUGACAUUGAGAGAAUCCGCUAGAAAUAGUGGAGUGUCUGGCUUGCCAGACCUUGAAAACAGGUGCUGCACGGCUGUCGUCAGCUCGUGUCGUGAGAUGUUGGGUUAAGUCCCGCAACGAGCGCAACCCCCUUUCUUAGUUGCUAACAGGUUAUGCUGAGAACUCUAAGGAUACUGCCUCCGUAAGGAGGAGGAAGGUGGGGACGACGUCAAGUCAUCAUGGCCCUUACGCCUAGGGCUACACACGUGCUACAA
This 403-nucleotide ribosomal RNA is filed under the name Helicobacter pylori. RNAcentral describes it as "bacterial SSU rRNA". It matches the Rfam family "Bacterial small subunit ribosomal RNA", at positions 832 to 1230 of the family's 1533-position model. Lineage: Bacteria; Pseudomonadati; Campylobacterota; Epsilonproteobacteria; Campylobacterales; Helicobacteraceae. The record is from RNAcentral.